UAGGUGAAUUUAGCACAUUCGAUGAGUU
RNAcentral lists this small RNA (28 nucleotides) under Bombyx mori (domestic silkworm). RNAcentral's name for it is "ovarian small RNA-22786". The record is from RNAcentral. Lineage: Eukaryota; Metazoa; Arthropoda; Insecta; Lepidoptera; Bombycidae.